Molecule: transfer-messenger RNA, 408 nt
Filed under: Patescibacteria group
Lineage: Bacteria
Also listed under: 1 other name
Description: f GWA2-41-24 X4 Standard tmRNA
Rfam family: transfer-messenger RNA
About the family: Bacterial tmRNA, also known as 10Sa RNA or SsrA, is named for its dual tRNA and mRNA-like properties.
Source: RNAcentral
GGGGAUGUAUUGUUUCGACAGGAUUUGCUCUUUAAAAACUGCAAGCCGAAAGAUGAUUCUAAAGUGCGUUAAACUUUGAAUCAAACUUACGUGCAAAAAAUUAUAUUGCACAGGGGUUAAAUGCAAUUCGUUCUGCGUUUAGCAUUCAACCUUUAGCUCCCGCUUUAGUACUAACUUAAGCAGAGCUUGUCUUUUUAGUUUUUUCUCGGUGAAACUUCAAAGGCAUCAACUUAGCCGAGAGUAGAUCUUUAAUUUCUGAUCAGAUUAAAGAUUGAAUCAAUAGAUCUUUGUUUAAGUUAUGCUUGUUAAUCGGUAAAGGCUUAAACGAGAAAAUUAUGAUUAACUAAGCUUGUAGAGGUUUAUAAAUUGUAGUCUUGGACGGGGGUUCGUAGCCCCCCAUCUCCACAC